CUACGUGCCAGCAGCCGCGGUAAUACGGAAGGUCCAGGCGUUAUCCGGAUUUAUUGGGUUUAAAGGGAGUGUAGGCGGUCUGUUAAGCGUGUUGUGAAAUUUAGGUGCUCAACAUCUACCUUGCAGCGCGAACUGGCGGACUUGAGCGCACGCAACGUAUGCGGAAUUCAUGGUGUAGCGGUGAAAUGCUUAGAUAUCAUGACGAACUCCGAUUGCGAAGGCAGCGUACGGGAGUGUUACUGACGCUUAAGCUCGAAGGUGCGGGUAUCGAACAGGAUUAGAUACCCUGGUAGUCCGCACGGUAAACGAUGGAUGCCCGCUGUUAGCGCCUGGCGUUAGCGGCUAAGCGAAAGCAUUAAGCAUCCCACCUGGGGAGUACGCCGGCAACGGUGAAACUCAAAGGAAUUGACGGGGGCCCGCACAAGCGGAGGAACAUGUGGUUUAAUUCGAUGAUACGCGAGGAACCUUACCCGGGCU
RNAcentral lists this ribosomal RNA (477 nucleotides) under uncultured bacterium. Its description in RNAcentral is "bacterial SSU rRNA". It matches the Rfam family "Bacterial small subunit ribosomal RNA", at positions 501 to 981 of the family's 1533-position model. The record is from RNAcentral.